RNAcentral lists this signal recognition particle RNA (99 nucleotides) under Hydromonas duriensis. Its description in RNAcentral is "Bacterial small signal recognition particle RNA". It matches the Rfam family "Bacterial small signal recognition particle RNA". From Rfam's summary of the family: The signal recognition particle (SRP) is a universally conserved ribonucleoprotein involved in the co-translational targeting of proteins to membranes. Archaeal SRP consists of a 7S RNA and homologues of the eukaryotic SRP19 and SRP54 proteins. Lineage: Bacteria; Pseudomonadati; Pseudomonadota; Betaproteobacteria; Burkholderiales; Burkholderiaceae. The record is from Rfam by way of RNAcentral.
GGCGGGUCCCUUCGCAUUGUGGGGCGGUGAAUCGGGUCAGGUCCGGAAGGAAGCAGCCACAGCUGUUAUCCAUGAGUGCCGAAGUUCAGGCUCGCCUUC